This 69-nucleotide transfer RNA is filed under the name Ictidomys tridecemlineatus (thirteen-lined ground squirrel). RNAcentral describes it as "Spermophilus tridecemlineatus (thirteen-lined ground squirrel) tRNA". It matches the Rfam family "tRNA". Rfam says of the family: Transfer RNA (tRNA) molecules are approximately 80 nucleotides in length. The record is from Rfam by way of RNAcentral. Lineage: Eukaryota; Metazoa; Chordata; Mammalia; Rodentia; Sciuridae.
GGGGCUGUGGCUCAGUGGUAGAGCACUUGCCUAGCAUGCAUGAGGCCCGGGGUUCAACCCCUAGUACCA